AUUACAUACUUCCAUCAUUCCCAUUUGGUUCUUUUGUAGGUGAGAGACGUGUUUACUAUGAGAAACACUUCGAGGUCUGUUUGAUCCAUAGGUUUUGAAGGCUGAUUUUGGAUCGCGGUUUACUCGUGACAAAACUGUUGGUAUUUUGUGUCUUCUUUCUUUAAAGUGUGAUUUCUCUGUUGUUUUGUUCUCGUGUUUUUUUACACUUUAUUGUAAUAUCUCUUAUGUAGUAAUUUCUGGUAUAAUAUCAUGUUUUUU
Molecule: small RNA, 258 nt
Filed under: Arabidopsis thaliana (thale cress)
Lineage: Eukaryota; Viridiplantae; Streptophyta; Magnoliopsida; Brassicales; Brassicaceae
Description: ATSL195360
Source: RNAcentral